UACAGAGGGUGCUAGCGUUAAUCGGAUUUACUGGGCGUAAAGCGUGUGUAGGCGGUUCGUUAAGUCGGGUGUGAAAUCCCUGGGCUCAACCCGGGAAUUGCAUUCGAUACUGGCGAGCUAGAGUACGGUAGAGGGCGGCGGAAUUCCGGGUGUAGCGGUGAAAUGCGUAGAUAUCUGGAGGAACACCGGUGGCGAAGGCGGCAUCCUGGACCGGCAUUGACGCUGAGGCGCGAAAGCCAGGGGAGCAAACGGG
RNAcentral lists this ribosomal RNA (253 nucleotides) under uncultured bacterium. RNAcentral describes it as "partial 16S ribosomal RNA". It matches the Rfam family "Bacterial small subunit ribosomal RNA", at positions 524 to 776 of the family's 1533-position model. The record is from RNAcentral.